ACUCUGCUGGGAAGGCAGUUUCUGCCUCCAGAGUCUAAUGCAUUCCAGGCUGAAGACUGCACCCCCACCCCCACCCCGUCACAGGGUCGGGGAGGGGGGUGAAACCAGCCUUAGUGGAUCCGAGCAGCGAAAUAGAAUGGAGUGAAAAGAAGCUAUCAGAGUGCACCACACUUACUAAGGGCUUCUAGUCAUAAGGAGUUUACACGCAACUCUAUGUUUGCACGCAUUUCAGUAGCUUUGGAAGAGAGGAGUUUGUCAGCACUGGAAGGCGCUUGAGAAUUCUUUUCCUUUAAAGGUGGGAUAAUGACUUGGUGAAGCUUGUGUUCCAGUCGUAAAACUACUUGGAGAUUCAAACCGAAAUCUCAGAGAAGUGAAUGGCCUUGCCCAGAGUUACAGAGGCGUGAAGGUUAACAGCUGGGCCAAGACCAGAGACCAAAUCUCUGCCCUUCUACACCGCCCAACACUCGGAUACUGCUCUCUGCGACCAUCUUAACCUGUGUCCAUCAUUCAGCCCAUGGUAACAACUCAGAUACUUCUCAUGCAAACAGGCCACUGGCCGGAUGGGUGGGAAGAUGGGAUGGUUUGGGUCUUUUGAACUGUAGCACUCUUGGUUGACUUUCAGCAGCUGGGGGAACAUUUGGCUCUGAAUGUAUGAGAGGCUAUAGCUUUAUUAAAGAAAGCAAUACCAUUCAUCAAACUAAUGAUCAAUAACAAUUCUUUAAGCAAUACUGUAAGUACUUCAUGGAAUCAAGUUAUUCUUUAAAGUCAUCUUUAAUUUCUCACUGCAGGUGUUUGGAAACAUGAAUGGUUCAUAUUUAAUGUUUACAGUACAAAGGAGGCAUUAAGAACAACUUUUCUUUUUUGGCGAUGAGAGACUCCAGUCAUAAAUCCAUACAUAGUUUAUUCAUAAUAUGCAUUUUUCAUGAAUUUUUGAAGACCCCUCUUAUGCAUGGAUUUCAAUAUUUUUUGCACCAAAAAAACUUCUCUCUUAAUGCCAUUUUCCACAAGCUUUCUGACACAUGCUCGUGAAUAGCUGGGUUCGUGCACCUGUGUGCGGGAGCGGUUAGGAGAGAGGGAUCCUUCACCACCUGGUGACCCCUUCGCAUGCAUCCAGCUCCACCUCUCAGCAGCACCUCUACCUUCCCCCUGGGUCCCGCCUCUGCUCAUCUUCAAAACCCGCAGAGGCCCCCUAAACACUCUGGCUGCCUGCACCCUGCCCUUCCCCCAUCCACUCUCCCCUCCCUCACCCCUCCCCGGCAGCCAAUGGGCCUUCCAGCAGCUCCCAUGCACUCCCCAGGCAAAACCCACAGUGUCUCCCUGAUCUUAUUCUCUGCAACUCUCUCCUCCCUUGCUCUGUCCCUGCCACAACUGUGACUUGUUCCUUGGCUCAGCAAUUCGCUCUUGCUUUCUGUGGGGAAGGCCCCACCCCGGUGGCUAGUGGACUGCCUCCCUCCUUUGCUCCCUGCGCAUCCCUGCUCAGACACAUGCCAGCAUCCCUGACCAUCGUGGGGAAACAGUACCUCAGCCUUCCCCACACCCCUCACCUGCUGUGUGGUUUGGUUCCCGUGUGCUCAGCACACUGGUUUGCUACCCUGUGUCACCCACUGAAGUGCGGUCUCUGAGGUCAGGGGUUGGGGCUGGUUUGCUCUCUGCUCUGUCCUCAGCAUCUAGAAGAUGGCCUGGGAUGGAGCUGCUCACUCACCUUUCUCAAAUGAAUUUGUUUUCUUCCAUUUUUCUAUUUAAUCACUUUUAAAAUAAAGAUUGAUCUUUAUUUAUUUGAGAAGCAGAGUGACAAACAGAGAAGGAAAUCUCAAUCCACUGGUUCACUCCCUAAAUGGCCACAAUCACUGGGGCUUGGUCCAGGCCAAAUCCGGAAGCUGGGAGCCAGGAACUCCAUCUGUGUUGUCGCUCCCCGUCUUCGUGGAGGAACGACACAGGACCCUGCGUUGUUCUUGCGUCUGCUCGGCCCUCCCCGGGUUUGCUGCUGGUUCUUCCUGGGUUGGCUACCGACCCUUCCACCUCCGUGGAAGGGCGGUUCCCCCUGGCCACUUUCCCCACUUCCGCAGGGGAGCGGCACACCGCCGGCCGGCUCUCUCGGGGGCUGCACAGGUGUUCCCUCAGAUGUUCCCCUUAGAUGUUCCUGGUGCAUGUUGUCUCUCUCCUCCUUUAUAGUCCUCCUCCACCAAUCCCAACUUGGCUGCCCACACGCCGAGUACGCUGCUCUCCUCCAAUCAGGAGCAGGAUCAGCUCCUGGAGGUCAUCACUCAAGUUGGCAAGAGGCAGCUGCGUAGAAGCUGUUUUCUCCUCUCCCAGCGCCAUAUUGUGGGAGAGCAGAUGCAUAGAAUAAGUCUUAAUUCCAGUAACUCAGUCCAGUCCGGGUUGCUCCCC
This is a non-coding RNA of Oryctolagus cuniculus (rabbit), 2388 nucleotides long. The record is from RefSeq and is a predicted model, not a curated record. Lineage: Eukaryota; Metazoa; Chordata; Mammalia; Lagomorpha; Leporidae.